CCUACGGGUGGCAGCAGUGGGGAAUAUUGCACAAUGGGGGAAACCCUGAUGCAGCGACGCCGCGUGAGUGAAGAAGUAUUUCGGUACGUAAAGCUCUAUCAGCAGGGAAGAAAAUGACGGUACCUGACUAAGAAGCCCCGGCUAACUACGUGCCAGCAGCCGCGGUAAUACGUCGGGGGCAAGCGUUAUCCGGAUUUACUGGGUGUAAAGGGGUGGUAGACGGCAGCGAAAGUCUGAAGUGAAAUCCCAGGGCUUAACCAUGGAACUGCUUUGGAAACUGUGCAGCUGGAGUGCAGGAGAGGUAAGCGGAAUGCCUAGUGUAGCGGUGAAAUGCGUAGAUAUUAGGAGGAACACCAGUGGCGAAGGCGGCUUACUGGACUGUAACUGACGUUGAGGCUCGAAAGCGUGGGGAGCAAACAGGAUUAGAUACCCGGGUAGUC
Molecule: ribosomal RNA, 440 nt
Filed under: uncultured bacterium
Lineage: Bacteria
Description: partial 16S ribosomal RNA
Rfam family: Bacterial small subunit ribosomal RNA
Source: RNAcentral